Molecule: long non-coding RNA, 1080 nt
Filed under: Homo sapiens (human)
Lineage: Eukaryota; Metazoa; Chordata; Mammalia; Primates; Hominidae
Description: HSALNT0284519
Source: RNAcentral
GGUCCCCUGCUGAUUGGAUGGUGCCUACCCACACUGAGGAUGGAUCUUCCCCACUCAGUCCACUGACUCACAUGCAAAUCUCCUAUAGAACCACCAUCAACAGACACACCCAGAAAUAAUGCCUUACCAGUCAUCAAGAAAUGACCUGAGGCUGCUCUCUAUCAAUAGAUAACUUGAUUCAAAACUUCUUUUUUUACAUAUUCACUGGCACCUAUAAUUAUCCUAUAAAAAAUGUUGAAAUUCAAUGAAUGGGGAUAAUGAGAAAAGGAACUAAUUCCAAGGGAUAAAGUACAAUGGAUAAGUACAAUGUUGCCUCUGGUUGAGUAAUUUCUGUUUACUUACUAUUAUUAUUUUUGCUAUCUUCCUUGAAAAGAGGUCUACCAGGGUCCUUCUAAGAUUGGUUUUAAGGAUCCUAAAAUUUACUGCUUAAAAGAAGUUCACUUUUGUCCUCAUUUCCAAUGAAUGAUAUAUCUAUGCUAACAUUACUGUUUAUAAUGCUAUGUAUUGUAAUUAGGUCAAUAUCAUGAGCUAAAUUCUCCUAAAAUACUACUACUAGUAGUAGCUUUCAUUUAUUGCCAAGCAUUUAAUGUGGAUUACUUCAUUUAAACAUCAUAGUAAUGCUGUAAAGUAGGUACUAGUACUAUCACAAAUGUAUCCUCUUAAUCGUAUUACUCUGCUGCAUUGACUCCAGAAAGCACUCCAUUAUGUGAGGCUAGUAUCUUAUGGUAGUGUGUCUUGAAUGAAGGGAAUGUAGCUAUCACAGUAUAAAUCAUCAUCACUCCUGGACAAGCAAUUUAAAAUUCUUAUAGAUAUUGGUUCAGCAAUUUUUACAUAAAGAAUAACACAUCUUUUAUUUUUUUGUACCUUUAUCCCACAAAAGCAUAAUACUUGAGGUAGUUAAAGCAGCCAAGCAAAAUAUCACAGCAUCUGAAAACUCUGUGACUAGACCACAAAGCUAUCUGUAUGAGAACAAGGAGGAGCUUCCAUAAAAGAGAAAAAGCAUCUGUAACACAGUUGCUGGAUUUUCUCUUGUGACUAUAGUGCAGUCUCAGCUAAUGCAUUACUUCUGAAAUUCCAUGA